Molecule: transfer RNA, 73 nt
Filed under: Ailuropoda melanoleuca (giant panda)
Lineage: Eukaryota; Metazoa; Chordata; Mammalia; Carnivora; Ursidae
Rfam family: tRNA
About the family: Transfer RNA (tRNA) molecules are approximately 80 nucleotides in length. Their secondary structure includes four short double-helical elements and three loops (D, anti-codon, and T loops).
Source: Rfam by way of RNAcentral
GCCUGGCUGGCUCAGUUGGUAGAGCAUGCAACUCUUGUUCUCAGGGUCGUGAGUUCAAGCCUCACAUUGGGCA